This is a long non-coding RNA of Chrysemys picta bellii (western painted turtle), 555 nucleotides long. RefSeq lists it as uncharacterized. Lineage: Eukaryota; Metazoa; Chordata; Testudines; Emydidae. The record is from RefSeq and is a predicted model, not a curated record.
AGAAGGACAGGCCAGAGCUGGACCCAGUAUCACGGCUGACGAGAGCUGCAUGGGGCUGGAGAUUUCCACAGCGUAGGCCAGGCCCAGGUGACAGAGCCCUAUGGUUCCUCCACGGAGCAGCUGAGGGAAAAACGGAUGCUCAACAUCACACAGCGAGUCCCAGAGCUGGGGUUAUAACUCACCACUGCCAGCAUGCGGCCCAUAGCUCUGAUCACGAAAUGCACCUAGCAGUUCAAGAAGAGGGACUCGUUACACAGUGGCCUCCACCUGGUUGUGUUGCUGCAUCUCAGUGCUGGACUUCAAGGAAGGUAGGAUUGCCAUAUAGGCACAGAGGACCAUAGUGGUAGUAUUGCUGUAAAGGGUCUGGGGGUGAUAGUGGAUCACAAAUUGAAUUUGAGUCAACAAUGGGAUGCCGUUGUGAAAAAGGCUAAUAUUCCAGGGUGUAUUAGAAGGAGUGGCGUAUGUCAGACACAGAAGUAACUGUCCCACUCCACAAGGUACUGGUGAGACCUCAGCUGGAGUACUGGGUCCAGUUCUGGGCGUCACACUUUAGGG